This 1724-nucleotide long non-coding RNA is filed under the name Daucus carota (carrot). RNAcentral's name for it is "long non-coding RNA (DCAR_LNC007005)". Lineage: Eukaryota; Viridiplantae; Streptophyta; Magnoliopsida; Apiales; Apiaceae. The record is from RNAcentral.
GCUCUUCAAUGUCCUGUUGGUUUGGGCCAAGGUCCGUCCACGGAGGGUAAGACAAGGGCUAAGAUCAGGCCAAAAGGCGUCGUCGAUUGACAGCACGUGAAUAUUCCUCUACUACCCAUUGUUGGUCCCGAGGGGCGCUGAUCCUGAUGAGCUAUGGAACAAAUGCUUGCCGUCUGCUCGCCCGCACAUCCUUAGCAGAUCACUAUCUUCUUUCACUCGAAACACUAAAAGACGGCUUCGCUUCCUUCUUUGUGACUCACCUGUUCUGCCAGAAGAUGCCGAUGUGGUAAUUAUUCUCUCUGCAAUCUAUCAAAAUUUGUUGAUUUAGUCGUGUGUAAAUUUGGCUCCCCUUCCUUGUUGAAAAUAAUUAGGUCCUUCAUAUGAAAUAUUUAACACUUAUUAAAAAUGUAAUAUUAAAAAAUAUCAUGUUAAUAUAACAUUUUUUGGGGAAUAAUUCCAUAUUCUACAAAGACGGGAACAUGCACCAAUGAAAAGUUUUGUGUUUCACUGUUAAGUUUGGACAAAAAAUAAUUUGUUUCUUCCUGCUACGGACUUUAGCAACUGUUCUUCCUGUCUUCAUUUGCUUUUAUAGCUUGCCAGGAAAAGAAAUUACCAAAUGUACAUCUUACUUUAGUUUGGUAGCCUCUGUGUAAAAACUAUUAUCUUCAAGGCGGCAAUGUCGUUUGUUUCCCCAGUCCUGCAAUAGCAAAUAGAGCAUAGUUUUUCUUAUAAAUGGAGUAGCUAUAUCCUGGUUGUUGUGAUUUGGUAUUGCUGCUGUAAUGUGUUUCUCGAUGCUGCAAUCUUGUGAUUUUAAUUGCCAGUCCUGUUGGUAUCUAAAACCCGCAAUCCGGGAUUUAUUAACAUGGUCCCGGGUCGAUUACUGUUGGAGUCACUUGAUGCAGCGAAAGAGUAAUAUUGUCACAAAUGAUACAUGAUCCAAUUAAGAUCUUUUCUUACCAUGCUAACAAAUUCACAAUAACUAACUUGAAUAAUAUGACAAGUAUUUGUCCUGUAACUGCCACCUUUACCACAGCCAGUGAAUUGACAUUAACUCAUUCGAUCACACCGAUAUUGACAAUCUGUAUAAGACUCGAGUUUUUUGUCGACACAAAUCCAAAUGCUUCCACGGUACUCCGCACUGUUGUUUUGCAAGUAAUGUUAAACAGAUCCUUAAUAAAGACAAGUUAAUGUACUGUAUUUUGGUUUAAGUAUCAAUGCAGGUACAGAGUCAAAUGCGGUUCACUUGCUGGAACACAUAAAAUCUUCCAAAGACAGAGAGGUAUGGCUUAUUGUACUUGAAUGCCAUUAAACAAAAAAGAUUUCAGCCAUAUAGAAUUGUAACUGAAAUCUGACUAUUAAGAUGGAAAUCAAAGACGAUAUGCAAUCCACCUUCAUCACUCAGACAUCUAUUUAAGCUCUCAUGCAAAAAGGAUCAAAUACAUCAUUCACAACAAAUUCCAUCGUCUACAACAUAUGUAAAAUAUAUUAUAUAAUAGUUGGGUUUUACGCAGUUGCAGGUAUGACUACACCAACUCAAAGCGAGGGAGAUCUGUAUUCAACAGCGAACUCUUCGGAGAGUCUUGUAGACCCUAUACACUACAGCUUAUCACAAAGCUUGCCAUUGGAAGAGAGAUAUAAGCUUGAUCGGGACUGGAAACGUAAUGAGGCGGAGCACUCUUAUUCAGAGGCAAAAAAAAACUAUGAGCUACACAUGGGACUACAGG